RNAcentral lists this ribosomal RNA (467 nucleotides) under uncultured bacterium. RNAcentral describes it as "partial 16S ribosomal RNA". It matches the Rfam family "Bacterial small subunit ribosomal RNA", at positions 29 to 507 of the family's 1533-position model. The record is from RNAcentral.
ACGCACGCUGGCGGCGUGCUUAACACAUGCAAGUCGAACGGAAAGGCCCUGCUUUUGUGGGGUGCUCGAGUGGCGAACGGGUGAGUAACACGUGAGUAACCUGCCCUUGACUUUGGGAUAACUUCAGGAAACUGGGGCUAAUACCGGAUAGGAGCUCCUGCUGCAUGGUGGGGGUUGGAAAGUUUCGGCGGUUGGGGAUGGACUCGCGGCUUAUCAGCUUGUUGGUGGGGUAGUGGCUUACCAAGGCUUUGACGGGUAGCCGGCCUGAGAGGGUGGCCGGCCACAUUGGGACUGAGAUACGGCCCAGACUCCUACGGGAGGCAGCAGUGGGGAAUAUUGCACAAUGGGCGGAAGCCUGAUGCAGCAACGCCGCGUGCGGGAUGACGGCCUUCGGGCUGUAAACCGCUUUCGCCUGUGACGAAGCGUGAGUGACGGUAAUGGGUAAAGAAGCACCGGCUAACUACGUG